RNAcentral lists this ribosomal RNA (390 nucleotides) under uncultured bacterium. RNAcentral describes it as "bacterial SSU rRNA". It matches the Rfam family "Bacterial small subunit ribosomal RNA", at positions 30 to 420 of the family's 1533-position model. The record is from RNAcentral.
AUUGAACGCUGGCGGCAUGCCUUACACAUGCAAGUCGAACGGCAGCACGGGAGCAAUCCUGGUGGCGAGUGGCGAACGGGUGAGUAAUAUAUCGGAACGUGCCCAGUCGUGGGGGAUAACGUAGCGAAAGCUACGCUAAUACCGCAUACGAUCUAUGGAUGAAAGUGGGGGAUCGCAAGACCUCGCGCGAUUGGAGCGGCCGAUAUCAGAUUAGGUAGUUGGUGAGGUAAAGGCUCACCAAGCCGACGAUCUGUAGCUGGUCUGAGAGGACGACCAGCCACACUGGGACUGAGACACGGCCCAGACUCCUACGGGAGGCAGCAGUGGGGAAUUUUGGACAAUGGGCGCAAGCCUGAUCCAGCAAUGCCGCGUGCAGGAUGAAGGCCUCGG